CCUACGGGUGGCUGCAGUAGGGAAUAUUGCUCAAUGGGGGAAACCCUGAAGCAGCAACGCCGCGUGAAGGAUGAAGGUUUUAUGAUUGUAAACUCCUUUUGUUAGAGAAGAUUAUGACGGUAUCUAACGAAUAAGCACCGGCUAACUACGUGCCAGCAUCCGCGGUAAUACGGAGGGUGCAAGCGUUACUCGGAAUCACUGGGCGUAAAGAGGGCGUAUGCGGGGUAAUCAGUCAGAUGUUAAAUCCUGUAGCUUAACUACAGAACUGCAUUUGAAACUGUUACUCGUGAGUGUGGGAGAGGUAGGUGGAAUUCGUGGUGUAGGGGUAAAAUCCGUAGAGAUCAAGAGGAAUACUCAUUGCGAAGGCGACCUGCUGGAACAUUACUGACGCUGAUGCACGAAAGCGUGGGGAGCAAACAGGAUUAGAUACCCGGGUAGUC
Molecule: ribosomal RNA, 440 nt
Filed under: uncultured bacterium
Lineage: Bacteria
Description: partial 16S ribosomal RNA
Rfam family: Bacterial small subunit ribosomal RNA
Source: RNAcentral